GAUGAACGCUGGCGGCGUGCCUAAUACAUGCAAGUCGAGCGAACGGACGAGAAGCUUGCUUCUCUGAUGUUAGCGGCGGACGGGUGAGUAACACGUGGAUAACCUACCUAUAAGACUGGGAUAACUUCGGGAAACCGGAGCUAAUACCGGAUAAUAUUUUGAACCGCAUGGUUCAAAAGUGAAAGACGGUCUUGCUGUCACUUAUAGAUGGAUCCGCGCUGCAUUAGCUAGUUGAUAAGGUAACGGCUUACCAAGGCAACGAUGCAUAGCCGACCUGAGAGGGUGAUCGGCCACACUGGAACUGAGACACGGUCCAGACUCCUAUGGGAGGCAGCAGUAGGGAAUCUUCCGCAAUGGGCGAAAGCCUGACGGAGCAACGCCGCGUGAGUGAUGAAGGUCUUCGGAUCGUAAAACUCUGUUAUUAGGGAAGAACAUAUGUGUAAGUAACUGUGCACAUCUUGACGGUACCUAAUCAGAAAGCCACGGCUAACUACGUG
Molecule: ribosomal RNA, 497 nt
Filed under: uncultured bacterium
Lineage: Bacteria
Description: partial 16S ribosomal RNA
Rfam family: Bacterial small subunit ribosomal RNA
Source: RNAcentral